AUGUCAGAAUGAGUUUAUAGGAACAGAAAUAUUUCCUAUAGGUCUGGAGAGGAACAUUUGACAAGAGCAUGUCAUGGUAGGACAAGAGUGAAUGUCCUUAAGCUGAAGGAAGCCAGGGCGAGAUGGGAUAUUGGGAAUUAGGAAUUCCUCCCUGGGAGGAUUCUAGGCCUGGUCACCAAGAAUUUGGAAUUGGGGUUUCAGCUGGAAUUCUCAUAGAUCACAUUGAAAUAUCCAGAGACCCCUUUGGAGCAUGGAGUUGACGUGGAAGGACCAAGCAGAAUCCAGGCUCAGCAGCUAUUCCAGACCCACGAAGGGGGGAUUUCUUUUGUUAUCCUGAUUAUACCCAGAACAGCACUGAUUUCCCUGGGAUCAUGAGCACAGAAUCAUGGAAUAUUCUGAGCUGGAAUGGGUUCAAAAGGAUCACCAAGUCCAACUCCUGGCCCUGCACAGGACUCCCCCAACAAUCCCAGUCUGUGCCUUAGAGUGUUCUCCAAACAUUUCCUGGAGUCUUGGGCUUUGGCAGGGGAACCCAGUUUGUCAAAAACUAUUUCAGUAGUAACCAAGAUGUCCAAAAUAGAAAGCCCAGAUGUUCAAAAUAGCUGUGGAAAAUACCCUUGAGAACUGACCCAGGUAUUCCCGGCCCCAGGAAGAGAAAUUCCACCCCCAGAGCUUUUGCUGCUGCUCCCCAGGUGAUGUGCCUGGCAAGUGGAGACAGGUCUUCAAAAGAAUUAGAGAGGAGCAAUGAGCUGAUGAUGAGCAACUAGCAAUUAGCAGAGUAAUUAGAGCAGGCAGAGUGCUGGCUCUGUUCCAUGUGACCCUGAACUGUGAGGAUCCUACAGCACAGUUAAGGUAAAAUGGGAAGGUAAAGCAGAGUGAUCCACAGGUAAAGCGACAGGAGAUGGGAAUAUUCCCAACACCACCAGAGCAGAGCUGGGGCUGUGUGUGCUGCUUUGGGCCAUCUCCAGCCUCCUCAGGUGCUAUCUUGGGAGAGGUUAGAGGGAUUUAAGUUUCACUUUAAACAUUUCUGCUCAUAUUAGUGAAGAGUUACCUCAUGCCUCCAUUUUCACUCUGGGCCCACUGCAAAACUCACUGAGGAGUAAUCUGUCUAAGGCACUGUUUUUCCACUCUGUGGUCCCUGCAGCUUUCCCCUUUUCCAAGAUGAAAGACUUUUGAAGGAUUAGUUCCACCAGAGUCUUAUUGUUCAGAGCCUGGUGUUUCUGAAAUGGGUGUGAGAAGGGGAUUAACCUGCCUUGGGCCUCAGCACUCCACAGGGAGAUUCCAGAGCCCCCAACCCAACCUCCUGAUGUGCAGGAGCAGGAAACAGAUGCCAGCAUGAGCAUUUGUGGUUUAUCCAAAGGUCAAAUAAAUCAUGACAAAUGUAACAGCUCUGAAAUGUGAGCUGCUGGGAGGGUGAAAGCAGGAACUGGUGGUCAUUUGGUCAACUGGGCUUGUGCUCACCUGCAGAGUGUGAGCUAAAGGCCUGUGUCUAGAGGAAUUUCUCUAGUUAUAGAGACAAGACAUUGGGAAGGAAGAUUUCCUAAAAUUGAGAAUCAUGGUUAUAAUGGAGUUAUUUCCAAAGUGGCCACCAAACCCAUGUACAAGAUGGUACUGUUUCCACAGAAUUCCUAAAGAUUCCCAGCUGAACAUCAGGUCAUUCCCUUCCCAGAUAAAACUUCCACCCUGACUGCAUUAUUCACUCAGCUGAUUAAAGCCAUACCACUAAAUUUAAGUUUGUUUUUCCCUUAUCUGCAAAUUUUAAAAAAUACACCGUUGGAUGCACUUUAGAGAGAUCUGUCUGAUUCUUACUCUACCAAAAGCAAGAGGAAUGUGGAGUUCAUGACCAUAAUUUAUUGCAGCUGCCAUCCCAGGAGGGCUUAGAGCCCUUCUCUGAACAUGGGCAGUUUGGAUCCUAUGUUGGAAACAGCUGGAUCUCUCCCCUGGCCACCGGAGAAGAGGGAGAUCAGGAUUUCAGCACUUUGUAACUCAUUUCCCAGAGGCCUCAGGCCUUGGAAUCCCAAGUGAUUUAUCAAAGCUCAUGCAGAGACUUUGCACAGACACAGCAGAACUAUCAGUGCUUCAGUCUGCAGACACUGCUGUCCUUUCAAAAACCCUUCCCACUCCUCAAGUAUCCAGCCUGCCCAGCUGGUAUUUCCUCUGGUACUUGUGUUUGCAGAGGAAAAUGGAGUUGUCAGACUUCAAAUGUUCUUUCAUCGUCUGAGCAGAAUUGCCAGAGCAGCUGUGCUGUUUGGAGGCCUCUCCUAAAGCUUUAACAUAAUUGCUGCACCAGGACUGGUCCCUCACUCUCCCCUCCACACACGGAAUAUUCUCUAAUAAUGCAGCCAUCCCUGCCAACUCCUUGGAACAGCCACGGGCCAGAUGAGUGCGACACCCCAAGCUCAGAUUGCUCCUAAGUCACCUCCUGCAGCUGCUGGCCUUCCAAACUGCCUUUACUGCUCUUUCUAUGGGAUGAUGCACUCUGGAUUAACCUUAAACACAGCAUAUUGAGCCAUUUAGCCUUCAGAAUGACAUAUAGAGUAAUUGCUGCCCUCUUCAAUCACUGCCCAGCCCUUUAAAUAUGCAGGAGAUCAGCUCAGCCUUUGAGCUGAGUGUUUGAGAAAAUGGGCUGGAAAAUGUCCAUGAGGCAAUUUGCCUGUUGAACAGCCACGGUUCCUCAGGCAAGAGAAUCCAAUGACCCUGAAUCCUGGGAGACACAGAGGGAGAAUGUGGCCUCGGAGUUUCUCAGAGUUUCUCCAGCUGUGAGACUGCAAACCGAUGGGUGAGAGGGAGCCUGUUUUCCUGCAGAGCCCUGUGUAUCCAGGGCACAGCCCCAUGGCAGACUGCAGUGGCAUACCUAGGCUCCUUUCCUUUUGUUUAUUGUAAUUUUAUACCAGCUAUGGUGUGUAACAUGUUUCCUACAGUUUUCCAGGUGUUCACAUUCAGUCUAGAAGCUUCACAUCCACAGAGCUCAUGCCCAGAGCUUGCUCCUGCUUUCUCCAGCCAGCCUGCUCCCGGUCCAUAAAGUUUUAUGUUAAAGCCAAUCCUCCCUCCGGGGAGACAUCUGCUGUUAAAGGCCUAUGGAAUGUCACUGCCUGACUGAUAAAAGUUACAGCAGCCCACUGUGGGAUGCUACACCCAGAGGGAGGAGCCAAGCAUUCCUAACUGGAUAUAAUCUGAGUUUUUGGCACACCAGACUCAGCCUUUCCACAGGAUUCCCAGAGGAACAGCUGAGUCUUUUGACUGGAUCUUCAGAGGAAGACUACACCCUUCUACAGGACCACUGCUCCAACAGAACCACACCUGCCACUCCAGGAGACUGCAGCCACUCCAAUUUGGACUGCUACCAACACCCUGACCAACAGGGUAUCAGGUUGCAUUCUGACUCUGUCGGUGGUUUUUCUUCUGUAUUAUUGCAUGUAUUUUGGGGUUUUUAUCCUUUUCCUAAUAAAUUGUAUGUCUGA
This is a long non-coding RNA of Taeniopygia guttata (zebra finch), 3458 nucleotides long. Lineage: Eukaryota; Metazoa; Chordata; Aves; Passeriformes; Estrildidae. The record is from Ensembl.